RNAcentral lists this ribosomal RNA (497 nucleotides) under uncultured bacterium. RNAcentral describes it as "partial 16S ribosomal RNA". It matches the Rfam family "Bacterial small subunit ribosomal RNA", at positions 28 to 507 of the family's 1533-position model. The record is from RNAcentral.
GAUGAACGCUGGCGGCGUGCCUAAUACAUGCAAGUCGAGCGAACGGACGAUAAUCUUGCUUCUCUGAUGUUAGCCGCGGACGUGUGAGUAACACGUGUAUAACCUACCUAUAUUUCUGGUAUAUCUUCGGGAAUCCGGAGCUAAUACCGUAUAAUAUUUUGAACCGCAUGGUUCAUUAGUUAAAUACGGUCUUUCUGUCACUUAUAGAUGCUUCGCCGCUGCUUUAGCUAGUUGGUAAGGUAACGGCUUACCAAGGCAACGAUGCAUAGCCGACAGGAGAGGGUGAUAGGCCAAACGGGAAGGGAGACACGGACCAGAGGCCUACGGGAGGAAGCAGUAGGGAAUGUUAGGCAAUGGGGGAAAGAAUGACGGAGCAAGGCGGAGUGAGAGAUGAAGGUCUUCGGAGCGUAAAAAUCUGUUAUGAGGGAAGAACAAAUGUGUAAGUAAAUGUGCAGAGAGUGACGGUAACUAAUAAGAAAGCAACGGCUAACUACGUG